This 472-nucleotide ribosomal RNA is filed under the name uncultured bacterium. RNAcentral describes it as "bacterial SSU rRNA". It matches the Rfam family "Bacterial small subunit ribosomal RNA", at positions 328 to 793 of the family's 1533-position model. The record is from RNAcentral.
CGCUAUCACUCCUACGGGAGGCAGCAGUGGGGAAUAUUGCACAAUGGGCGCAAGCCUGAUGCAGCCAUGCCGCGUGUAUGAAGAAGGCCUUCGGGUUGUAAAGUACUUUCAGCAGUGAGGAAGGCGGGUACGUUAAUAGCGUGCUUGUUUGACGUUAGCUGCAGAAGAAGCACCGGCUAACUCCGUGCCAGCAGCCGCGGUAAUACGGAGGGUGCGAGCGUUAAUCGGAAUUACUGGGCGUAAAGCGCAUGCAGGUGGUUUGUUAAGUCAGAUGUGAAAGCCCGGGGCUCAACCUCGGAAUUGCAUUUGAAACUGGCAGGCUAGAGUCUUGUAGAGGGGGUAGAAUUUCAGGUGUAGCGGUGAAAUGCGUAGAGAUCUGAAGGAAUACCAGUGGCGAAGGCGGCCCCCUGGACAAAGACUGACGCUCAGAUGCGAAAGCGUGGGGAGCAAACAGGAUUAGAUACCCUGGUAG